This 929-nucleotide long non-coding RNA is filed under the name Mytilus galloprovincialis (Mediterranean mussel). Lineage: Eukaryota; Metazoa; Mollusca; Bivalvia; Mytilida; Mytilidae. The record is from RNAcentral.
GGCCUUCCAAAUACCGUUUCGAUCCCUAACAUCACUGAAGAGACAUUUAUUGUCGAAAUCCGGAUAUGGUGUACUAAAGAAAUAUUGACACCGAAUAUUUGUGGCACAACAUCCUGUCCACAAGUUAACAAUUUUUUUUUUCUGUGACGUAUUAAAUUUAUAAUAAGAUCCAUUUUGUUACAACCUGUGAUCAAUUUUAUUUGGCAAUCGCCAAUGGCAGUCAGCAGGGUUAAAGAACAUCAGUUGUUCGACCUGUUAGUCAAAUGCGUUUUGUUUAAAUAUACUUUUUCACUUUUUGGUCUUUUGGAAAAUGUUGUUUGUGCUGUUUUUAGACCCUUCUACAACGAAAUUUGUUUGACAUGCACACGUAUAAAAAUUGCGGUUUUUAUCCAACGCAGUCAUAGGUUUGAACGUAGUUUUCAAUUUAGACUCGUUUAUAUUUUUUGUUUGGGCAUGUAUCAUAUUUUCCCUCCGGUUUAUAUGAUCCGUUCAUCCUAUAUAUUGACUCUUAAAAUUCAAGAGUUAAUCUAAAAAUGAGGGUACUUUCUCUAAAAAUGAGGGUGCUUUUUAUAUGGCCUUCCAAAUACCGUUUCGAUCCCUAACAUCACUGAAGAGACAUUUAUUGUCGAAAUCCGGAUAUGGUGUACUAAAGAAAUAUUGACACCGAAUGUUUGUGGCACAACAUCCUGUCCACAAGUUAACAAUUUUUUUUUUUCUGUGACGUAUUAAAUUUAUAAUAAGAUCCAUUUUGUUACAACCUGUGAUCAAUUUUAUUUGGCAAUCGCCAAUGGCAGUCAGCAGGGUUAAAGAACAUCAGUUGUUCGACCUGUUAGUCAAAUGCGUUUUGUUUAAAUAUACUUUUUCACUCUUUUGGUCUUUUGGAAAAUGUUGUUUGUGCUGUUUUUAGACCCUUCUACAACGAAAUUUGU